UACGAAGGUGGCAAGCGUUGUUCGGAUUUACUGGGCGUAAAGGGCUCGUAGGCGGCCAACUAAGUCGGAUGUGAAAUCCCCAGGCUUAACCUGGGAACUGCAUCCGAUACUGGAUGGCUUGAAUCCGGGAGAGGGAUGCAGAAUUCCAGGUGUAGCGGUGAAAUGCGUAGAUAUCUGGAGGAAUACCGGUGGCGAAGGCGGCAUCCUGGACCGGCAUUGACGCUGAGGAGCGAAAGCUAGGGGAGCAAACGGG
RNAcentral lists this ribosomal RNA (253 nucleotides) under uncultured bacterium. Its description in RNAcentral is "partial 16S ribosomal RNA". It matches the Rfam family "Bacterial small subunit ribosomal RNA", at positions 524 to 776 of the family's 1533-position model. The record is from RNAcentral.